This 448-nucleotide ribosomal RNA is filed under the name uncultured bacterium. Its description in RNAcentral is "partial 16S ribosomal RNA". It matches the Rfam family "Bacterial small subunit ribosomal RNA", at positions 329 to 792 of the family's 1533-position model. The record is from RNAcentral.
UGCCAGACUCCUACGGGAGGCAGCAGUGGGGAAUAUUGGGCAAUGGGCGCAAGCCUGACCCAGCAACGCCGCGUGAAGGAAGAAGGCUUUCGGGUUGUGAACUUCUUUUGACAGGGAAGAGCAGAAGACGGUACCUGUCGAAUAAGCCACGGCUAACUACGUGCCAGCAGCCGCGGUAAUACGUAGGUGGCAAGCGUUAUCCGGAUUUACUGGGUGUAAAGGGCGUGUAGGCGGGACUGCAAGUCAGAUGUGAAAACCAUGGGCUCAACCCAUGGCCUGCAUUUGAAACUGUAGUUCUUGAGUGUUGGAGAGGCAGGCGGAAUUCCGUGUGUAGCGGUGAAAUGCGUAGAUAUUAGGAGGAACACCAGUGGCGAAGGCGGCCUGCUGGGCUUUUACUGACGCUGAGGCUCGAAAGUGUGGGGAGCAAACAGGAUUAGAUACCCCCGUA